This 491-nucleotide ribosomal RNA is filed under the name uncultured bacterium. RNAcentral describes it as "partial 16S ribosomal RNA". It matches the Rfam family "Bacterial small subunit ribosomal RNA", at positions 29 to 507 of the family's 1533-position model. The record is from RNAcentral.
GUGAACGCUGGCGGUAGGCCUAACACAUGCAAGUCGAACGGCAGCACCGUAAGAGCUUGCUCUUACGGGUGGCGAGUGGCGGACGGGUGAGGAAUACAUCGGAAUCUACUUUUUCGUGGGGGAUAACGUAGGGAAACUUACGCUAAUACCGCAUACGACCUACGGGCGAAAGCAGGGGAUCUUCGGACCUUGCGCGAUUGAAUGAGCCGAUGUCGGAUUAGCUAGUUGGCGGGGUAAAGGCCCACCAAGGCGACGAUCCGUAGCUGGUCUGAGAGGAUGAUCAGCCACACUGGAACUGAGACACGGUCCAGACUCCUACGGGAGGCAGCAGUGGGGAAUAUUGGACAAUGGGCGCAAGCCUGAUCCAGCCAUACCGCGUGGGUGAAGAAGGCCUUCGGGUUGUAAAGCCCUUUUGUUGGGAAAGAAAAGCAGCAGGUUAAUACCCCGCUGUUCUGACGGUACCCAAAGAAUAAGCACCGGCUAACUUCGUG